AGGCAGCAGUGAGGAAUAUUGGUCAAUGGCCGCAGGGCUGAACCAGCCAAGUCGCGUGAGGGAUGACGGUCCUAUGGAUUGUAAACCUCUUUUGUCAGGGAGCAAAGGACGCCACGUGUGGCGUUUUGCGAGUACCUGAAGAAAAAGCAUCGGCUAACUCCGUGCCAGCAGCCGCGGUAAUACGGAGGAUGCGAGCGUUAUCCGGAUUUAUUGGGUUUAAAGGGUGCGCAGGCGGAAUGUCAAGUCAGCGGUAAAAUUUCGGGGCUCAACCCCGUCGUGCCGUUGAAACUGGCGUUCUUGAGUGAGCGAGAAGUAUGCGGAAUGCGUGGUGUAGCGGUGAAAUGCAUAGAUAUCACGCAGAACUCCGAUUGCGAAGGCAGCAUACCGGCGCUCAACUGACGCUCAUGCACGAAAGCGUGGGUAUCGAACAGGAUUAGAUACCCUGGUAGUCCACGCAGUAAACGAUGAAUACUAACUGUCCGGGCCGAUUGAGGUCUGG
Molecule: ribosomal RNA, 499 nt
Filed under: uncultured bacterium
Lineage: Bacteria
Description: bacterial SSU rRNA
Rfam family: Bacterial small subunit ribosomal RNA
Source: RNAcentral